UACGGAGGGGGCUAGCGUUGUUCGGUAUUACUGGGCGUAAAGCGCACGUAGGCGGCUUUGUAAGUUAGAGGUGAAAGCCUGGUGCUCAACACCAGAAUUGCCUUUAAGACUGCAUCGCUUGAACGUCGGAGAGGUGAGUGGAAUUCCGAGUGUAGAGGUGAAAUUCGUAGAUAUUCGGAAGAACACCAGUGGCGAAGGCGGCUCACUGGACGACUGUUGACGCUGAGGUGCGAAAGCGUGGGGAGCAAACAGG
Molecule: ribosomal RNA, 253 nt
Filed under: uncultured bacterium
Lineage: Bacteria
Description: partial 16S ribosomal RNA
Rfam family: Bacterial small subunit ribosomal RNA
Source: RNAcentral